Molecule: non-coding RNA, 278 nt
Organism: Cinara cedri
Lineage: Eukaryota; Metazoa; Arthropoda; Insecta; Hemiptera; Aphididae
Source: the annotation of a GenBank genome assembly
UUAAAACAUAGUAUUUUAUCGGGCGUACGAGUGCUGGAUACAUGAAUUUAACUAAAUCUGCGCGUAUCCGAGUCGGUUCAGCGAUCAAAAACCCACGCUAGUCGGGUCCCGGGUUUGUGCAGAUGGUACUGUAUACUAGCUAUAGUAACUCUUUUUUCGUGAACAUCAACUGAUUGAUUCCCCGCAGGGCUGAAGUCGAUUUUCGAAUUUUUUUUUCUUCCGAUUUUGUCUACCGGAAUUUCGUUUUCUAUCGUGUUCGGUCUAAAUGGUACGCGCGU